AUUGAACGCUGGCGGCAUGCCUUACACAUGCCAGUCGAACGGUAACGGGCCUUCGGGUGCCGACGAGUGGCGAACGGGUGAGUAAUACAUCGGAACGUGCCCGAUCGUGGGGGAUAACGAGGCGAAAGCUUUGCUAAUACCGCAUACGAUCUACGGAUGAAAGCAGGGGACCGCAAGGCCUUGCGCGGACGGAGCGGCCGAUGGCAGAUUAGGUAGUUGGUGGGAUAAAAGCUUAUCAAGCCGACGAUCUGUAGCUGGUCUGAGAGGAUGAUCAGCCACACUGGGACUGAGACACGGCCCAGACUCCUACGGGAGGCAGCAGUGGGGAAUUUUGGACAAUGGGCGCAAGCCUGAUCCAGCCAUGCCGCGUGCAGGAUGAAGGCCUUCGGGUUGUAAACUGCUUUUGUACGGAACGAAAAGCCUUCUUUUAAUACAGGAGGGUCAUGACGGUACCGUAAGAAUAAGCACCGGCUAACUACGUG
This 482-nucleotide ribosomal RNA is filed under the name uncultured bacterium. Its description in RNAcentral is "partial 16S ribosomal RNA". It matches the Rfam family "Bacterial small subunit ribosomal RNA", at positions 30 to 507 of the family's 1533-position model. The record is from RNAcentral.